CUGCCUGAGAAAUUAUUCCAUGAACUGAAGUUUAACUGAAGUGGUUAUGAUUCAUCACAGAGGACCCAUAAUAAAAACAUAGUGAGUAUUUUUCUGAGGCUUUUCAUAACCAUGAAUCAAUGACACAAGUUCUGGAAUUUAACUUUGAAUGUGGCUUCAAAUUCUAGAGGACAAGAAGUGUAAGUGAACUUUGUAGCGCCCUUGGUGUUGUGUUGGUUUGUUUUCUCAUGCUCAUCAAUAAUCCACAGAAAGAAAAAUAACAAAUCUCACUUUGCUGUUGUGUUGAGUUGUUGCCUCUUAUAAAGUCAUUACCCAAAAGUAAAUGGAGAAUAUAAGAUAAUUGGUCUAAAUUUAUUUUAAACUGUUAUUUUUUAUAAGGCCAAACCAAAUGUGAUGAAAAUGAUAAGAUUUUAAAACAAUUAAAUGAAAUAUGGAAAUGGGAAGACCAUCUUACUUCGGUUUCAGAACAUCCUAGUAAAAUGGCUAAGUAUGUAGAGGCAUGUUUAUUGUGGUUUCA
RNAcentral lists this long non-coding RNA (517 nucleotides) under Homo sapiens (human). RNAcentral describes it as "non-protein coding lnc-CARMIL1-3:2". Lineage: Eukaryota; Metazoa; Chordata; Mammalia; Primates; Hominidae. The record is from RNAcentral.